UUAAAUUGAAGAGUUUGAUCAUGGCUCAGAUUGAACGCUGGCGGCAGGCCUAACACAUGCAAGUCGAACGGUAACAGGAAGAAGCUUGCUUCUUUGCUGACGAGUGGCGGACGGGUGAGUAAUGUCUGGGAAACUGCCUGAUGGAGGGGGAUAACUACUGGAAACGGUAGCUAAUACCGCAUAACGUCGCAAGACCAAAGAGGGGGACCUUCGGGCCUCUUGCCAUCGGAUGUGCCCAGAUGGGAUUAGCUAGUAGGUGGGG
RNAcentral lists this ribosomal RNA (262 nucleotides) under Escherichia coli. Its description in RNAcentral is "partial 16S ribosomal RNA". It matches the Rfam family "Bacterial small subunit ribosomal RNA", at positions 1 to 257 of the family's 1533-position model. The record is from RNAcentral. Lineage: Bacteria; Pseudomonadati; Pseudomonadota; Gammaproteobacteria; Enterobacterales; Enterobacteriaceae.